UAGAGAGAUCACUACAAACCGAUGCUUAUGCCAGUCAUUGGUAAAAUAUAUCUGAUGCUUUAAAGCAUCAGGAUUAUUUAGGAUUUUUUAAAAUUCGGACGCUUUAAAGCGUCGAUAAAUUAAAAAAGAUAAUAGAAAUUGGUUUUAUACAAUAGAGGGUUAAUAUGAUGAUAUUUUUUGAAGCGUCAGUAUUUGCGAUAUUGUAGGGACCCUCAAGCGUCGUCUAAAAAGCGUCUUUAUAUUGAAAUUUUCUUAUAGUGUGCACCUCUUAAUUAAUACAACCAUUU
Molecule: long non-coding RNA, 287 nt
Filed under: Ananas comosus (pineapple)
Lineage: Eukaryota; Viridiplantae; Streptophyta; Magnoliopsida; Poales; Bromeliaceae
Description: long non-coding RNA (ACOM_LNC021068)
Source: RNAcentral